CUACGGAGGGUGCAAGCGUUACUCGGAAUCACUGGGCGUAAAGCGCGCGCAGGCGGCUUGAUAAGUUGGAUGUGAAAGCCUACGGCUCAACCGUAGAACUGCAUCCAAAACUGUCAAGCUAGUGUCUGGGAGGGGAAGAUGGAAUUAGUUGUGUAGGGGUAAAAUCCGUAGAGAUAACUAGGAAUACCAAAAGCGAAGGCGAUCUUCUGGAACGGUACUGACGCUGAGGCGCGAAAGCGUGGGGAGCAAACAGGAUUAGAAACCCUAGUAGUCC
Molecule: ribosomal RNA, 274 nt
Filed under: uncultured bacterium
Lineage: Bacteria
Description: partial 16S ribosomal RNA
Rfam family: Bacterial small subunit ribosomal RNA
Source: RNAcentral